UGGGAAUUUGGACAAUUGGGCGAAAGCCUGAUCCAGCAAUGCCGCGUGUGUGAAGGAGGCCUUCGGGUUGUAAAGCACUUUUGUCCGGAAAGAAAUCCUUGGCUCUAAUACAGUCGGGGGAUGACGGUACCGGAAGAAUAAGCACCGGCUAACUACGUGCCAGCAGCCGCGGUAAUACGUAGGGUGCAAGCGUUAAUCGGAAUUACUGGGCGUAAAGCGUGCGCAGGCGGUUUGCUAAGACCGAUGUGAAAUCCCCGGGCUCAACCUGGGAACUGCAUUGGUGACUGGCAGGGCUAGAGUGUGGCAGAGGGGGGUAGAAUUCCACGUGUAGCAGUGAAAUGCGUAGAGAUGUGGAGGAAUACCGAUGGCGAAGGCAGCCCCCUGGGCCAAUACUGACGCUCAUGCACGAAAGCGUGGGGAGCAAAACAGGAUUAGAUACCCUGGUAGUCCACGCCCUAAACGAUGUCAACUAGUUGUUGGGGAUUCAUUUCC
RNAcentral lists this ribosomal RNA (492 nucleotides) under uncultured bacterium. RNAcentral describes it as "partial 16S ribosomal RNA". It matches the Rfam family "Bacterial small subunit ribosomal RNA", at positions 357 to 839 of the family's 1533-position model. The record is from RNAcentral.